AUGAUCUUAAAGAUAGCAAGGACUAUUGUGAGCCUUCUUUCAUUCUUUUAUUUGCUUUUUUCCUUAUGUAGUGCAGAAAGUCAAACAGUUUGGCCAACAGUUUGACUUUCGGUUUUGACCAUCAAUUGGUCAAGUCAAAGUUCAAUUGAACUUUGAAACGUGAUUGUAAUCACGAUAGUUAUAAUCCUUCGUGAUUAUAACCGCUGAUUACCACGUUAGCUAGUUGUAGUGUCGAGUCAAAGUUUCGGUCAACAUGCGCUUUAGCACGCAUUUUGCAACGAAACUACUUUAGGGUAUCAAAACACUUUGUUUUGAUACCAAAUCAGUAGGUUAGACAUGUUUUGACAUGUUUAACUCGACACUAUUAGAUUAGUGCUUGUUUAGGGUCGUAAGGUAAGCGGUCUAAACAACCGCUUAGCCUUCCGAACCCGACCCGUUUGGUCGAUCUUUAGGAUCCGACCAAGCUUAGUAAGUGAUCAUAGAUUCAUAGGGAAUAACCACUGAGGUUAUAACCUUAUGAUCACCUAGGAUUGGUUAGUCAUUUGCUAGUUAGCUUGUAUGCCCAUAGGAAAUGACCAAAAUGCCCUUUUGAAGCUAAAACCCGUAUUUUGAUUAUGUGAACAUAUUUUCAACAUAUAAUCUGAAUUAGUAACAUGUUUAGGGAUAAUUGGGCAUGUAAGACUUGACAUAGCACAUAGUUAACCAUCCGAACCUAGUUUUACGCAAACGACGCAUUAUAGUGGCUUAUGUUACCAUAAUGUGUCGAAACGGGUCAAAAGCACUUAGGUAGGCCUUCCAAUCAGAAUGUUAGGUCUAUUAAAUCAUGCCAUAUGAGUUGCAAUACUCAUUUGAUUUAUAGAACUUCAUUCUAUCCUAUCUUCCGAUUUAGGAUCCGAUUGUUUAACAUAGUGAUCCAUUCUAGGUGCCACUUGAUUCCUUGAUUUCCCGAGCUUUGUUAGGACACUUAAUCAAGGAUACUCGCAAUCUCAAGUGAGUACAUAGUCCCCUCUUUUACUAUUUUCAAUUGUUUUGGGGUGAAACAUAUAUGCCUAUCUGUUAUUUUCCUGAUUUUAAACUAUAUGAUUACACAUGCUUAAUACAUAUUCUUUUGACAAAUUAAACAAUUACCUAUGGUUUAAACACUGAUUUUCCAAAACUUAAUAAACAAAUUGUUGGAUUGUACCAUUUUUUUUUUUGGGUAAAGGGUUACCCCGGUGAUUUUAUAUAUUCACAUCAAAAACAAACAAGUAGUGAGGUGAAGUCCACACUAGUUCUUACAUGAGACAUGCCCCACGUAAGUAUAAGCCA
Molecule: long non-coding RNA, 1308 nt
Filed under: Helianthus annuus (common sunflower)
Lineage: Eukaryota; Viridiplantae; Streptophyta; Magnoliopsida; Asterales; Asteraceae
Description: hypothetical non coding rna
Source: RNAcentral